RNAcentral lists this ribosomal RNA (570 nucleotides) under Rhodotorula dairenensis. RNAcentral describes it as "eukaryotic LSU rRNA". It matches the Rfam family "Eukaryotic large subunit ribosomal RNA", at positions 67 to 653 of the family's 3401-position model. Lineage: Eukaryota; Fungi; Basidiomycota; Microbotryomycetes; Sporidiobolales; Sporidiobolaceae. The record is from RNAcentral.
AACAAGGAUUCCCCUAGUAGCGGCGAGCGAAGCGGGAAGAGCUCAAAUUUAUAAUCUGGCACCUUCGGUGUCCGAGUUGUAAUCUCUAGAAAUGUUUUCCGCGCUGGACCGCACACAAGUCUGUUGGAAUACAGCGGCAUAGUGGUGAGACCCCCGUAUAUGGUGCGGAUGCCCAGCGCUUUGUGAUACAUUUUCGAAGAGUCGAGUUGUUUGGGAAUGCAGCUCAAAUUGGGUGGUAAAUUCCAUCUAAAGCUAAAUAUUGGCGAGAGACCGAUAGCGAACAAGUACCGUGAGGGAAAGAUGAAAAGCACUUUGGAAAGAGAGUUAACAGUACGUGAAAUUGUUGGAAGGGAAACGCUUGAAGUCAGACUUGCUUGCCGAGCAAUCGGUUUGCAGGCCAGCAUCAGUUUUCCGGGAUGGAUAAUGGUAGAGAGAAGGUAGCAGUUUCGGCUGUGUUAUAGCUCUCUACUGGAUACAUCUUGGGGGACUGAGGAACGCAGUGGCCUUACGGCGGGGGUUUCGACCUCUUCACACUUAGGAUGCUGGUGGAAUGGCUUUAAACGACCCGUC